Molecule: long non-coding RNA, 464 nt
Filed under: Phoenix dactylifera (date palm)
Lineage: Eukaryota; Viridiplantae; Streptophyta; Magnoliopsida; Arecales; Arecaceae
Description: long non-coding RNA (PDAC_LNC022914)
Source: RNAcentral
CCAUCUGUAUUCAUCGGUAAAUCAUUUAUUUCUGAAAAUUUAAUUGAAAAGGAUUCCAUCUGUCUUAGUUUUGAAAAUUUAUCUUGGAAUCUACUUAUGAGUUCUUAUUGGCUUGCACUUUAGUGUUUCAAUCCUGAGCCAAUUCAUUUUAAUUGAUUUUGAUGCUAUGAUCUUUAAAGGAGUAAAAGAACGUUUUUAAGAGAGCUCUAAAAGAACCUUCAAAGCCCUGAAUUUUAUGUAUCCUACAUUGCAUAAAUUCAUAUCUUGGUAUCUAUGCUCCAAUACUUUUAUAUCAUGAAAGAACUUUGAAGUCAUUAAGAACUAAGAAUUCAACAUAAUCUUAUGUUUUUCGAGUAUAUAAGUUUUGAUCUUUAUCUGCUCUUAUACUAUACUCUAAAAAUUAAUUAGAUUGCUCUCAUGUGGCUAUAUACUUAAUAUAUUAAAAAAAAAGGUAUUGGAUUUUC